UACGUAGGGGGCAAGCGUUGUCCGGAAUCAUUGGGCGUAAAGAGCGUGUAGGCGGCCCGGUAAGUCCGCUGUGAAAGUCCAGGGCUCAACCCUGGGAUGCCGGUGGAUACUGUCGGGCUCGAGUCCGGAAGAGGAGUGUGGAAUUCUCGGUGUAGCGGUGAAAUGCGUAGAUAUCGAGAGGAACACCUGCGGCGAAGGCGGGUUGCUGGGCUGACACUGACGCUGAUGCGCGAAAGCCAGGGGAGCGAACGGG
RNAcentral lists this ribosomal RNA (253 nucleotides) under uncultured bacterium. RNAcentral describes it as "partial 16S ribosomal RNA". It matches the Rfam family "Bacterial small subunit ribosomal RNA", at positions 524 to 776 of the family's 1533-position model. The record is from RNAcentral.